UACGUAGGGGGCUAGCGUUGUCCGGAAUCAUUGGGCGUAAAGCGCGUGUAGGCGGCCCGAUAAGUCCGCUGUGAAAGUCCAGGGCUCAACCCUGGGAUGCCGGUGGAUACUGUCGGGCUCGAGUCCGGAAGAGGCGAGUGGAAUUCCUGGUGUAGCGGUGAAAUGCGCAGAUAUCAGGAAGAACACCAAUGGCGAAAGCAGCUCUCUGGGACGGUACUGACGCUGAGACGCGAAAGCGUGGGGAGCGAACAGG
RNAcentral lists this ribosomal RNA (253 nucleotides) under uncultured bacterium. RNAcentral describes it as "partial 16S ribosomal RNA". It matches the Rfam family "Bacterial small subunit ribosomal RNA", at positions 524 to 776 of the family's 1533-position model. The record is from RNAcentral.